GCCUCAACAGCUCAGUCGGUAGAGCAUCAGACCUCUAACCUGAGGGUCCAGGGUUCAAGUCCCUAUUCAAGUG
This 73-nucleotide transfer RNA is filed under the name Neotoma lepida (desert woodrat). It matches the Rfam family "tRNA". From Rfam's summary of the family: Transfer RNA (tRNA) molecules are approximately 80 nucleotides in length. Their secondary structure includes four short double-helical elements and three loops (D, anti-codon, and T loops). The record is from Rfam by way of RNAcentral. Lineage: Eukaryota; Metazoa; Chordata; Mammalia; Rodentia; Cricetidae.